Long non-coding RNA from Bos taurus (domestic cattle), 539 nucleotides. Lineage: Eukaryota; Metazoa; Chordata; Mammalia; Artiodactyla; Bovidae. The record is from Ensembl.
CGUCAUCUUGCCUCCACUAACCUGUGAGCACCGGGUACCUGGAGGCCAAGGCCCCUCUGCUGGGCGGGGGGCGGUCCCCCGGGAGCUGUACCCCAUCAUUCCGCAGCCCGGUGUGAACACAGGCCCAGAGAGGUGAUGUGAUUUGCCCUAAGCCAUGCAGCUAGUGGCAGAGCCAGGCCUAGAAGCCAGGUGUCCUGGCUCCCAAGACAUUCCGCUGCCCGAGGAAUGGAACAGAAAAAGAAAGCUAGAAAAAAAGGAAGAAAAAUACUGUACUCAAAAGAGCACCAAUACUCACUUUUAUAAUGUCAGCAUCAACAAAGAUGAAAGAAAAUGAAAGAAGAAGCAAAUGAAAAUACAUACCAUGUUCAUCAAUAAGAAGAUUUAAUGGUGUGAAAAUAUGUAUUCUCCCUAAAUUAACCUUUAUUUUUAACUUUAUGUCAAUAAAAAUACAUUAUGAGGGUUUUUGUGAAAGUAGACAGAGUCUAAAGUUCAAAUGGAAAAAUAAACAAGUGAGGCUAGCCAGGAAAAUUCUGAAGAAG